GAGCAUAAUAUGUCAUAAUUAUGAAUUAAUCAUUUAAAUCUACAGAUUCAUUACUAGCAUUCAAGAGGAAUAAUCAAAACAAAUAAAUCAAACUAUGAUAAGAGCCAAUGAUGACAGUAGCAAUAUAGAAGCAAAUUGUUAAAUCCCUUCAAAUUGGUGUUCUAGUGAACACCUAUGCAUGAUACAUACAGUUGUAACAGUUCCUAGAAUAUUCCAAGUAUUUCUUUUGGGGGGUUCAAUGGGCUCCAG
Molecule: unclassified non-coding RNA, 249 nt
Filed under: Hevea brasiliensis (rubber tree)
Lineage: Eukaryota; Viridiplantae; Streptophyta; Magnoliopsida; Malpighiales; Euphorbiaceae
Source: RNAcentral